GGGCGGUUAGCUCAGCGGUAGAGCAUUGCCUUGACAUGGUAGGGGUCACAGGUUCGAUCCCUGUACCGCCCACCA
RNAcentral lists this transfer RNA (75 nucleotides) under Stenotrophomonas maltophilia. RNAcentral describes it as "tRNA-Val". It matches the Rfam family "tRNA". From Rfam's summary of the family: Transfer RNA (tRNA) molecules are approximately 80 nucleotides in length. Lineage: Bacteria; Pseudomonadati; Pseudomonadota; Gammaproteobacteria; Lysobacterales; Lysobacteraceae. The record is from RNAcentral.